Molecule: transfer RNA, 75 nt
Filed under: Escherichia coli
Lineage: Bacteria; Pseudomonadati; Pseudomonadota; Gammaproteobacteria; Enterobacterales; Enterobacteriaceae
Also listed under: 432 other names
Description: tRNA-Gly
Rfam family: tRNA
About the family: Transfer RNA (tRNA) molecules are approximately 80 nucleotides in length.
Source: RNAcentral
GCGGAAGUAGUUCAGUGGUAGAACACCACCUUGCCAAGGUGGGGGUCGCGAGUUCGAACCUCGUCUUCCGCUCCA